Molecule: ribosomal RNA, 786 nt
Filed under: uncultured Colwelliaceae bacterium
Lineage: Bacteria; Pseudomonadati; Pseudomonadota; Gammaproteobacteria; Alteromonadales; Colwelliaceae
Description: bacterial SSU rRNA
Rfam family: Bacterial small subunit ribosomal RNA
Source: RNAcentral
CGAGAAUAGCUUGCUAUUCGGCGUCGAGCGGCGGACGGGUGAGUAAUGCUUGGGAACAUGCCUUGAGGUGGGGGACAACAGUUGGAAACGACUGCUAAUACCGCAUAAUGUCUUCGGACCAAAGGAGGGGAUCUUCGGACCUUUCGCCUUUAGAGUGGCCCAAGUGAGAUUAGCUAGUUGGUGGGGUAAAGGCUCACCAAGGCGACGAUCUCUAGCUGGUUUGAGAGGAUGAUCAGCCACACUGGGACUGAGACACGGCCCAGACUCCUACGGGAGGCAGCAGUGGGGAAUAUUGCACAAUGGGGGAAACCCUGAUGCAGCCAUGCCGCGUGUGUGAAGAAGGCCCUCGGGUUGUAAAGCACUUUCAGUCGUGAGGAAAGGUUUGUAGCUAAUAUCUGCAAGCUGUGACGUUAGCGACAGAAGAAGCACCGGCUAACUCCGUGCCAGCAGCCGCGGUAAUACGGAGGGUGCGAGCGUUAAUCGGAAUUACUGGGCGUAAAGCGUGCGUAGGCGGUUUCUUAAGCGAGAUGUGAAAUCCCGGGGCUCAACCUCGGAACUGCAUUUCGAACUGGGUGACUAGAGUACUGUAGAGGGUGGUGGAAUUUCCAGUGUAGCGGUGAAAUGCGUAGAGAUUGGAAGGAACAUCAGUGGCGAAGCGGCCACCUGGACAGAUACUGACGCUGAGCACGAAAGCGUGGGGAGCAAACAGGAUUAGAUACCCUGUAGUCCACGCCGUAAACGAUGUCAACUAGCUGUCUGUGUACUUGAUACGUGGGUAGCGUAGCU